Molecule: long non-coding RNA, 1107 nt
Filed under: Nicotiana benthamiana
Lineage: Eukaryota; Viridiplantae; Streptophyta; Magnoliopsida; Solanales; Solanaceae
Description: long non-coding RNA (NBEN_LNC024443)
Source: RNAcentral
UUGAUUUUACUGAAACUUUCUCCCCAGUGAUAAAAAUGACUUCUGUAAAGUGCCUUAUUGCUGUGGCUGUCAAGAAUCACUGGCCUCUUUUUCAGCUGGAUGUGAAUAAUGCCUUUCUUCAUGGUGAUUUGGAUGAGGAUGUUUACAUGAAACUCCCUCCAGGUUUGAUUGUCUCCCCAUUUUCUGAUGAUUCUGGUUCUUCUUCUUCUUCUGCUGUUUCUCCUCCUCUGGUCUGCAAACUCAAAAAAUCUUUGUAUGGGCUGAGACAAGCAUCCAGACAGUGGUAUGCCAAAUUGUCUUCUGCUCUCUAUUCCAGAGGGUAUUCUCAUUCUUUGAACGACUACUCCUUAUUCCUCAAGGGUAAACCUGGCUCUUUUGUGGUGGUCGCUGUCUAUGUGGAUGAUAUAAUUCUCACUGGGGAUGACAGUGAUGAACUGGCUGCUCUGAAACUAUUUUUGGAUGCACAGUUUAAAAUCAAGGAUUUAGGGUCCUUGCAUUAUUUUUUGGGCCUUGAGAUGUCUGCUGUCCCUGGUGGGAUGAACCUCAAUCAGGUAUAUCUCUGAUUUGUUGCAACAGUUUGACUGUGUCAAUGUGUCCUCUGUUGUGUUCCCUUUGGACAUUAAUGCCAAACUCCAUGUUGAUUCUGGUGCCCUCUUGCCCUCUCCUGAUCAGUACAGGAGCCUCGUUGGUAAGAUGCUCUUCUUGACUCACACUAGGCCUGACAUCUGUUAUGCAGUCCAGCACCUGAGUCAAUUUCUCAAAUCCCCCAGACUUCCACAUAUGNNNNNNNNNNNNNNNNNNNNCUGUUGUGUACCCUUUGGACAUCAAUGUCAAACUCCAUGCUGAUACUGAUGCCCUCUUGCCCUCUCCUGAUCAGUACAGGAGCCUCGUUGGUAAGAUGCUCUUCUUGACUCACACUAGGCCUGACAUCUGUUAUGCAGUCCAGCACCUGAGUCAAUUUAUCAAAUCCCCCAGACUUCCACAUAUGACUGCUGCCCUGCAUGUUCUUCGUUACCUCAAAGGCACACCCUACUUGGGCUUGUUUUAUUCUGAUCAUGCUGACUUUUCUGUGGCUGGGUAUUCCGAUAGUGACUGGGCUGCCUGCCC